UUAAUCCAUAACAGGCAGUCCUCAGUGACCCUCAUCACUCUGACAACACACACAGUCUCUGUGCAUCCUACCAGUCUGAUAUCACCUGUCUACUCUUCAGCUUAAGAUGAGUGGGACUGACACACUCCCAGCAGGCAGCCAACUGGUACCAGGACAAUAUCUGAUAUCGGUGAACAAACUAUACAAAGCAACAUUUGAGACAGAUGGGAACUUCAUUUUAUCGGACACAGCCCAGAUUUGGUCCACAAAAACAACAGGAAAAGGAGGUGAAAGCAUCAAGAUGGAGCCGGAUGGGAACUUGGUCAUGUACAACGCAUCAAAAUACCCUGUGUGGAUGAGCAACACCGGUAGCACGGCUCAGGAAGGGAUUAAGCUCGUAGUGACCAUUGAUGGGCACCUAAAAAUAAGGCUCUACGAUCAGGAGAUCUGGAGUCGCCCUUAAUGAUAAUCUCCUGAUCCUGAUGUGCCACACGGAUAUAAAAGAAUUAGGAGAGACCUGAGUCUAGCAGAUUAGAACUCUCAAAUAGUUACGUAGGCUAGUCAUCAGCUUCAGCACUGUUAGCAUGAAGCCGAAUGAUUUUACUGAUGAUUAAUGAUUUACUGGUGAUUAAAUGCAUUUAAUAAAGACAAAAAAAACC
This is a long non-coding RNA of Alosa sapidissima (American shad), 638 nucleotides long. RefSeq lists it as uncharacterized. Lineage: Eukaryota; Metazoa; Chordata; Actinopteri; Clupeiformes; Clupeidae. The record is from RefSeq and is a predicted model, not a curated record. The transcript has 4 exons.